RNAcentral lists this ribosomal RNA (309 nucleotides) under uncultured bacterium. Its description in RNAcentral is "bacterial SSU rRNA". It matches the Rfam family "Bacterial small subunit ribosomal RNA", at positions 28 to 334 of the family's 1533-position model. The record is from RNAcentral.
GAUGAACGCUGGCGGCGUGCUUAACACAUGCAAGUCGAACGGACAAGAUGAAGCCUAGCGAUUCUUGUUAGUGGCGGACGGGUGAGUAACGCGUGGGUAACCUGCCUCAUACUGGGGGAUAACAGUUAGAAAUGACUGCUAAUACCGCAUAAGUGCACAGUUUCGCAUGAAACAGUGUAAAAAACUCCGGUGGUAUGAGAUGGACCCGCGUCUGAUUAGCUAGUUGGUGGGGUAACGGCCUACCAAGGCGACGAUCAGUAGCCGGCCUGAGAGGGUGAACGGCCACAUUGGGACUGAGACACGGCCCAA